UUGAACGCUGGCGGUAUGCUUUACACAUGCCAGUCGAACGGCAGCACGGGGCAACCUGGUGGCGAGUGGCGAACGGGUGAGUAACAUAUCGGAACAUAUCCGGAAGUGGGGGAUAACGUAGCGAAAGUUACGCUAAUACCGCAUAUGCCCUGAGGGGGAAAGUGGGGGAUCGCAAGACCUCACGCUUUCGGAGUGGCCGAUAUCAGCUUAGCUAGUUGGUGGGGUAAAGGCCCACCAAGGCGACGAUCUGUAGCUGGUCUGAGAGGACGACCAGCCACACUGGAACUGAGACACGGUCCAGCCUCCUACGGGAGGCAGCAGUGGGGAAUUUUGGACAAUGGGCGCAAGCCUGAUCCAGCCAUACCGCGUGAGUGAAGAAGGCCUUCGGGUUGUAAAGCUCUUUCAGCAGGAGCGAAACGGUCGUUUUUAAUACAGACGGCUAAUGACGGUACCUGCAGAAGAAGCACCGGCUAACUACGU
RNAcentral lists this ribosomal RNA (480 nucleotides) under uncultured bacterium. Its description in RNAcentral is "bacterial SSU rRNA". It matches the Rfam family "Bacterial small subunit ribosomal RNA", at positions 30 to 506 of the family's 1533-position model. The record is from RNAcentral.